This 223-nucleotide long non-coding RNA is filed under the name Phaseolus vulgaris (common bean). Its description in RNAcentral is "long non-coding RNA (PVUL_LNC004115)". Lineage: Eukaryota; Viridiplantae; Streptophyta; Magnoliopsida; Fabales; Fabaceae. The record is from RNAcentral.
ACCAAGUGAAACCAAUUUUCGGAUUCACCUAUCUGCAUGCUGAAAGAAGAACAUUUGGUAUAUGAGCAAAUACAAUAGAUAAAGGACCAACAGUUAUUGGUUUUGUUGAGUCUACAUAUACAGGUUCCAAAGGAGGAAUUUCACCAGCUGAAUUUACACUUAAAGCUUUUCCAUUUAGCAACAUGAUUUGGCUAUGUAUAUUUCUGUCUGGUGCUGUCAAAUG